This 99-nucleotide signal recognition particle RNA is filed under the name Desulfuromonadales bacterium. RNAcentral describes it as "signal recognition particle sRNA small type". It matches the Rfam family "Bacterial small signal recognition particle RNA". From Rfam's summary of the family: The signal recognition particle (SRP) is a universally conserved ribonucleoprotein involved in the co-translational targeting of proteins to membranes. Archaeal SRP consists of a 7S RNA and homologues of the eukaryotic SRP19 and SRP54 proteins. In most bacteria, the SRP consists of a 4.5S RNA and the Ffh protein (a homologue of the eukaryotic SRP54 protein). Lineage: Bacteria; Pseudomonadati; Thermodesulfobacteriota; Desulfuromonadia; Desulfuromonadales. The record is from RNAcentral.
AGCCGGGUCCCGCGCAACGGACGGUCGUGAACCCCGUCAGGCCCGGAAGGGAGCAGCGGCAAUGGCCUCAGCCGUGUGCCGCGGGGAAACCUGGCUGUC